This 468-nucleotide ribosomal RNA is filed under the name uncultured bacterium. Its description in RNAcentral is "partial 16S ribosomal RNA". It matches the Rfam family "Bacterial small subunit ribosomal RNA", at positions 28 to 507 of the family's 1533-position model. The record is from RNAcentral.
GACGAACGCUGGCGGCGUGCUUAACACAUGCAAGUCGAACGGAAAAGCCCUGCUUUUGUGUGGUGCUCGAGUGGCGAACGGGUGAGUAACACGUGAGUAACCUGCCCUUGACUUUGGGAUAACUUCAGGAAACUGCGGCUAAUACCGGAUAGGAGCUCCUGCUGCAUGGUGGGGGUUGGAAAGUUUCGGCGGUUGGGGAUGGACUCGCGGCCUAUCAGCUUGUUGGUGGGGUAGUGGCUUACCAAGGCUUUGACGGGUAGCCGGCCUGAGAGGGUGACCGGCCACAUUGGGACUGAGAUACGGCCCAGACUCCUACGGGAGGGAACAGUGGGGAAUAUUGCACAAUGGGCGGAAGCCUGAUGCAGCAACGCCGCGUGCGGGAUGACGGCCUUCGGGUUGUAAACCGCUUUCGCCUGUGACGAAGCGUGAGUGACGGUAAUGGGUAAAGAAGCACCGGCUAACUUAGUG